Molecule: non-coding RNA, 708 nt
Filed under: Ixodes granulatus
Lineage: Eukaryota; Metazoa; Arthropoda; Arachnida; Ixodida; Ixodidae
Source: RNAcentral
AAAUUUAAAUAUAGUUUAUAUGAAAAUUUUUUAAAUUUUCUUUAUAUUGUAUAAUGUAAAUUUUUUUUAUUAAAAUAGAAGAUAUUUUUAUUAUUUUAAAAUAAUAAUAUAGAAAUUUAAAUAUUAAUUUGGCUAAACUUGUGCCAGCCGCCGCGGUUAUACAGGUGAAUUAUUUUUUAUAAAAUUAUUUAUAAUAAAAAUUUUAUUUUUUUUUAAAGUUUAUUAAGGUGAAAUUUAUAACUUUAUUUUUAUAAAAAUUUGAUUUUAUAAAAAUUUAAUUUUUAAACUAGGAUUAGAUACCCUAUUAUUUUAAGCUAUAAAUUGUUAGUAAUUAAAAUUUAUGAAAUCAUAAGAUUUUGGCGGUAUUUUAAGCUUUUUAGAGGAAUUUGCCCUGUAAUGGAUAUAACACCUAAAUCUUACUUAAUUUUGUUAAAACAGUUUGUAUACCACUAUAUUAAUUAUAUUGAAUAAUUAUUAUUAAUAUUUUUAUAUAAAAAUAGAUAUUAAGUCAAGGUGCAACAUAUAAUUAUGAAUGAGGUGAAUUACAUUAAUUUUUAUGAAAUUUUAAAUGAAAAAUUUUUUAGGAUUUAAAAGUAAAAUAUUAAUAUUAUGAAUAUUUGAAAAGAGCUCUGAAAUAUGCACAUAUCGCCCGUCGCUCUCAUAAUUGAGAUAAGUCGUAACAAAGUAAAAAUACUGGAAAGUGUUUUU